CAGUAAUUAAUCUCACCACCAGCGCUGUUUUUAACCUCACCGGAGCUAAACACACCGCCCAUCCAAACUAAGCCUAAAGAAUUCGUGAAUUUUAAACAGACUUUUAGAUGAUGGAGAAAGCAGCAAUGGAAUCAUCAAACAGCAACAACAGAAUCUGCAGAAUCUUUGUCGAAAAUUUUCCAAGGCUCCCAAUUUGCACUGUAAAUAUUGCACGCCAUCAUCACACCAGAAGCGAUGGAAUCGCCGUUGGUGAUUGGUUUAAGGUAACAAAAAAGGAUUUCUUCUUUAGUGGGGAGAAAUUGAAACCCUAUAGGAAUCUGAAACUGUGACAUAAUGGGGGUUUCGUUUCAAUACACAACAAAGUGGUGGUGAUGGUGAUAGACGAAGAGAAAGAUGAGAUUAAUUUGGUGAUUUUCAAAGGAAUUUCUAAAAGGUCUCCAAACUCAACUUUACACCCAAACCUUAUAUACCCAAUUAGGGUAUUUCUGAUAUCAGUGCAUACAAUGGUUAUUUGACUUCUCUUCUUGUUUCUUGUUUCUGCUUCUUUUUCAAAUAAACUUCCAAAGUCAACAAACUUGGAAGCUGAAAUCAUUCUUUGUAACUACUGAAGGCCAAAUCAACAUGCAAAAGAAUCUGAUAAUAGAUGGAUAAUUCACUUGUUUCAUUUCCUUUUUAAAUAUUUGAAUGUUACUCUUCAAAAGAACUGCUUUAAGAAUCUGGACAUACGGAAAAUAAAAUUGAAAAAGGCAAGAAAACGCGGAUUGAGAGCAACUUACCUGAUCUCGGAAAAAAAAAAGAGACAUGGUGAUCCUAAGAGCGGUGUUAUUCGUUCAAAGUGAAAGCGAUUUUAGCUUUGAAAGAGGAAUCAAUGCAUCAAAAACAGUAGUGAAAAUAGCAGUGAAAAGUGUUCCUAACCUCAAUUCUACGUGUUCUGUACUUCAAUUCUCUGCACCGAAAACAACAGUGGUAAGUGAUAAAGUUAGAGGACUCAAUUGAAUGGAACCAUUCCUGCAAUUUUUGGGCCGAUUACAAGUUUGCAAGUUGUUGACUUUUCUUUCAAUAAGUUCAGUGGUGAAAUUCCAAAUGAGUCAGGCGAAAAUUGUGGGAGUCUAAUGCAUCUCCAUAUUGCAAGUAAUGGACUUUCAGAUUCAAUUUCGUCCAACUUGGGUAACUGAGUUGUCAAUGUCAUAUAUGGAUCUGGUUGGACUGUACUCUUCUUUCUUUUAUAGGAAUGCUCUCAUAAAUGUUGGUUCUGGUCCUUCCCCAUUUUCGUUGAGUGAAUUCGCUGUAUUACAUGUUUUUGGCAGGAAUCAGUUCCUCCCUUUAUUAUUUCUUUACAUACUUUGUCUGCUAAGUUGAAUUAUGUUUUCUGUAUAUUCUUUUGAUCCUUGUCUAAGGUUAGAUGGUUUGAUAUUUGAUGCUAGCAACAACAAAAUCGUAGGUGAACUUCCUUUAAACAUGGGUCACACUUGCAAAUGCUUGAAAAUUUUUAUUCUAGCGAGCGAUGAAUUUGUUGGCUCGAUUCCUACAUCAUUCACUGACAUGGUUUCUCUGCUUAAGCUUAUCCUCAGUGGAAACAGAUUGCGAGGUCACAUAUAUUUGAGAGACGAAUGAGAUAAGGUACCUCUCGCUUUCUUAUAAUAACUUUUUUAGGCGCGAUGCCUCGAGAUUUAGUUUGACUGUCAUUUUUACGAAUCGCUGAUUUAAUAUCGCGACCUUCGAUUUUCUA
Molecule: long non-coding RNA, 1729 nt
Organism: Gossypium raimondii (Peruvian cotton)
Lineage: Eukaryota; Viridiplantae; Streptophyta; Magnoliopsida; Malvales; Malvaceae
Exons: 2
Source: RefSeq, a predicted model, not a curated record